GGAAUUGCUAGUAAUGGCAGGUCAGCAUACUGCCGUGAAUACGUUCCCGGGCCUUGUACACACCGCCCGUCACACCAUGAGAGUUGGGGAUACCCGAAGCCUGUGAGCUAACUUUUAGAGGCAGCAGUCGAAGGUAGAAUCAAUGAUUGGGGUGAAGUCGUAACAAGGUAAC
RNAcentral lists this ribosomal RNA (172 nucleotides) under uncultured bacterium. RNAcentral describes it as "partial 16S ribosomal RNA". It matches the Rfam family "Bacterial small subunit ribosomal RNA", at positions 1328 to 1500 of the family's 1533-position model. The record is from RNAcentral.